RNAcentral lists this ribosomal RNA (506 nucleotides) under uncultured bacterium. Its description in RNAcentral is "bacterial SSU rRNA". It matches the Rfam family "Bacterial small subunit ribosomal RNA", at positions 31 to 507 of the family's 1533-position model. The record is from RNAcentral.
GAACGCUGGCGGCGUGCUUAACACAUGCAAGUCGAACGAGAAGAGAUGAGAAGCUUGCUUCUUAUUAAUUCGAGUGGCAAACGGGUGAGUAACGCGUAAGCAACCUGCCCUUCAGAUGGGGACAACAGCUGGAAACGGCUGCUAAUACCGAAUACGUUCUUUUUGUCGCAUGGCAGAGGGAAGAAAGGGAGGCUCUUCGGAGCUUUCGCUGAAGGAGGGGCUUGCGUCUGAUUAGCUAGUUGGAGGGGUAACGGCCCACCAAGGCGACGAUCAGUAGCCGGUCUGAGAGGAUGAACGGCCACAUUGGGACUGAGACACGGCCCAGACUCCUACGGGAGGCAGCAGUGGGGAAUCUUCCGCAAUGGACGAAAGUCUGACGGAGCAACGCCGCGUGAACGAUGACGGCCUUCGGGUUGUAAAGUUCUGUUAUACGGGACGAAUGGCGUAGCGGUCAAUACCCGUUACGAGUGACGGUACCGUAAGAGAAAGCCACGGCUAACUACGUG